GCAGCGGGGUGGCCGCCUCGAGCCCCCACCUGCCGGGGGGGCACCAAGCAGAGAGUGGGCUGCAGCUGGAAAACAGGGCAGGGGGAGAAGGGCCCCGCGACAGAGCAGCUCCACGGGGCUGGAAAAGCAGAUUUGAGAUGCUGCGUGGAGCUACGAGUCUUGAGGUUUUGGGUUUGCUUUGUGUUUUUUUUUUUUUUUUUUUUUUUUUAUGUUUUUUUUUUUUUUUUUUUUUUUUUAAGACACAAUUUGAUGGAGAGCAGACCCCGUCCCCUUUGGCAGCGCCGGCACAGCGCAGCACCUGCAUAGACGCCCCGAGGGGAAGGCAAGGGGCUGGGGGGGGAGGAGGGGAUCCAAAAGGUGCUGGGGGGGAGCGGGGAGAAGGGCUGGGCAGGGCAGCCCCCAGUCCCAGCUCCCCCCUGCCGCAGGCAGUGACCGCGUU
This 439-nucleotide long non-coding RNA is filed under the name Anas platyrhynchos platyrhynchos (common mallard). Its description in RNAcentral is "lncRNA (ENSAPLG00000019148.1)". The record is from RNAcentral. Lineage: Eukaryota; Metazoa; Chordata; Aves; Anseriformes; Anatidae.